Rattus rattus (black rat) is the source of this 394-nucleotide non-coding RNA. The record is from the annotation of a RefSeq genome assembly. NCBI's taxonomy places the organism in Eukaryota, Metazoa, Chordata, Mammalia, Rodentia, Muridae.
UGAGAACACAGAACCUCACCAUGGGAUGGAGCCAGAUCAUCCUCUUUCUGGUGGCAGCAGCUACAUGUGUUCACUCCCAGGUACAGCUGCAGCAAUCUGGGGCUGAACUGGUGAAGCCUGGGUCCUCAGUGAAAAUUUCCUGCAAGGCUUCUGGCUACACCUUCACCAGUUACUAUAUGCACUGGGUAAAGCAGCAGCCUGGAAAUGGCCUUGAGUGGAUUGGGUGGAUUUAUCCUGAAAUGGUAAUACUAACUACAAUCAAAAGUUCAAUGGGAAGGCAACACUGACUGCAGACAAAUCCUCCAGCACAGCCUAUAUGCAGCUCAGCAGCCUGACAUCUGAGGACUCUGCAGUCUAUUUCUGUGCAAGACACAGUGUUGCAACCACAUCCUGA